GACGAACGCUGGCGGCGUGCCUAAUACAUGCAAGUUGAGCGCUGAAGGUUGGUACUUGUUUCAAUUGGAUGAGCAGCGAACGGGUGAGUAACGCGUGGGGAAUCUGCCUUUGAGCGGGGGACAACAUCUGGAAACGAAUGCUAAUACCGCAUAAAAACUUUAAACACAAGUUUCAAGUUUGAAAGAUGCAAUUGCAUUACCUAAAGAUGAUACCGCGUUGGCUUAGCUUGUUGGUUAGGGUAACGCUCUCCAAGGGGAAGAUAGAAAGCCGGCCUGGGAAGGUGGUCGGCCAAAAUGGGACUGGAACACGGCCCAAGCUCCUACGGGGGGCAGCAGUAGGGGAACUUCGGCAAUGGGCGGAAGUCUUACCGAACAACGCCGCGUGGGUGGAGAAGGUUUUCGGAUCGUAAAACUCUGUUGGUAGGGGAGAACGUUAGUGGGAGUGGAAAGCUCAUCAAGUGACGGUAACUACCCAGAAAGGGACGGCUAACUACGUG
Molecule: ribosomal RNA, 497 nt
Filed under: uncultured bacterium
Lineage: Bacteria
Description: partial 16S ribosomal RNA
Rfam family: Bacterial small subunit ribosomal RNA
Source: RNAcentral